RNAcentral lists this ribosomal RNA (2589 nucleotides) under Rickettsiales bacterium. RNAcentral's name for it is "bacterial LSU rRNA". It matches the Rfam family "Bacterial large subunit ribosomal RNA". Lineage: Bacteria; Pseudomonadati; Pseudomonadota; Alphaproteobacteria; Rickettsiales. The record is from RNAcentral.
UGUAUUUAGUGAGUGCACUAAAAGGCUGCCUUGGCAUUAAAAAUACUUAAGUUGUGUACUGCAUUAAGUAGGUAAGAUUUUAUUAAAGUGAAACCUAAUAACUUAUUAAAAAAUUUAUCUUUGGAAGAGUUAAUUAGGUGAAGUAAAACAUUCUAGUAACCUGUAAUAUAAAUCAAACGAGAAAAUGUUAGUAGUGGUGAGCGAAUAUAUUGUAAGGCAAAAAAGCAAGUAAAAUGUAUGAAUUCCAAAGAAGGUUUUAGUCCUGUAGUACUUUUUAUUUGUUUUUUAAUAAAUGACGGAUUAUGUUAAAUUUGUUGUUAAUUUAGGAGAUCUACCUUCGUGCCUAAAGUUUUUAAUGAUCGAUAGUGAACAAGUACCGUAAGGGAAAGGUGAAAAAGGACUUUUUUAGAGUGAAAAGAACCUAAAAUUUAGUGCAUUAAAGCUGUUAGAGCUAAUUAAUUAGUUAUAGCGUACCUUUUGCAUAAUGGGCCAGUGAGUUUAUAAGGAAGGCAAGUUUAAACUUCGUGUAGACAAAGAUAAGUCAAGAUUGUUUGAAAUAGUAGCUAUAGUCUUUUUUAUAAAACCCGAAGCUAAGUGAUCUAACCAUGAGCAGGUUGAUAUUUUUAUGGCAACGUAAUUUGGAGGACCGAACCCGUAUUUGUGGAAAAAAAUUGGGAUGACUUGUGGUUAGGGGUGAAAGGCUAAUCAAACUUAGGGAUAGCUGGUUUUCUGCGAAAUAUAUUUUAGUAUAGCCUGCAAUAAAUCAAAAUUUGGGUAGAGCACUUUUAAAGUAAAGGGGGUCGUAGACCUUACUAAACUUUGAAAAACUUCGAAUAAAUUUUUGAUACUUUUUGUGGAGUCAGACUAUCGGUGCAAAGGUCGAUAGUCCAUUGGGAAACAGCCCAGUAUAUUUAAUAAGGCCUUUAAUAUUAGUUAAGUGUUAAGAUUGCAAAUAACAGAGACGAUCAUAAAGUAGGCUUAGAAGCAGUCAUUUUUUUGAGAAAGCGUAACAGCUCAUUGAUUUAGUUAUUUUGUAUCAAAAAUUUAGUGAGUCUAAAUUAAUAGCCGACUUAGUAUUAUAGUUAGCAGAACGUUUUAUAUAUUGAUAAAGGUUAUUUGUUAAAAUAACUUUAAAUAAUAAAAGUGAGGAUACUGGCAUUAGUAGCUAAAAAUAACGAAAUAACGUUAUCGCCGUAAAUCUAAGGUUUUCGAUUCAAUUUUUAAAAAAAUCGUAAUUUUAAUUUAAAAAUAUGCGGUCCCUAAGGCAAAUUACAAAAGUAUAAGCUAAUGGGAAGUUUAGUUUUAUAGUUACAAAAUUUUAAAUACAUUAAAUAAUAGUGAUUUCUUUGAUGUUAAAAAAUUUUCUGGAAACAGCUGAACAUGAAAUACCGUACCCUAAACCGACACAGGUAGAUUGGUAGAAUAUACUAAGGCGUUCAAGAUAAGUAUGUUGAAGGAACUCGGCAAAUUAGCUCUGUAACUUCGGAAAAAGGAGUAAUAAACAAUAAUUUUUGUUUAUUGUCAUUAAAGAAGGGGAAGCGACUGUUUAAUAAAAACACAUGUCUCUGCAAAUUUGAAAAAAGAUGUAUAGAGGCUGACACCUGCCCGGUGCUGCAAGGUGAUGUGCGUUUGCUAAGGCAAUCAAACUAAUCCCCAGUAAACGGCGGCUGUAACUCUGACGGUCCAAAGGUAGCGAAAUUCCUUGUCGGGUAAGUUCCGACCUGCAUGAAUGGUGUAACGACUUCUCCGCUGUCUCCAACAUAUGCUUGGUGAAUUUGAAAUACCCGUGAAGAUGCGGGUUAAUUACAGCUAGACGGAAAGACCCCGUGCACCUUUACUAUAGUUAUAAGUUGUAAAAUUAACAUUUUUGUGAAGAAUAGGUGGGAACGUAAGUGUCCAGUGAAAUACCACCCUUAAAUUUUGAUUUUACUUAAUUUUAUAAACAGCUUAUGAUAGGUAGUUUGACUGGGGCGGUCGCCUCCUAAAAAGUAACGGAGGCGUACAAAGGUAGAUUCGAAUAUAUUUUAUUUGGGAGCAUAAUGGCAUAUCUAUUUGACUGAAAGAUUAACAAAUCAAACAGGGAUGUAAGUCGGUCAUAGUGAUCUGGUGAUUCUGUGUGGAAAGGUCAUCACUCAACGAAUAAAAGGUACGCCGGGGAUAACAGGCUAAUGAUUUUUGAGAGUUCCUAUCGACGAUAUCGUUUGGCACCUCGAUGUCGGCUCAUCACAUCCUGGAGCUGUAAAUGGUUCCAAGGGUUCGGCUGUUCGCCGAUUAAAGUGGUACGUGAGCUGGGUUUAGAACGUCGUGAGACAGUUCGGUCCCUAUCUACUGUAAUUGUUAAAAAUUGAGAGGAUUAAAUUUUAGUACGAGAGGACCAAAUUACGUAAAACCUCUGGUGUAUCAGUUGUUUAAUCAAAAGCAAUGCUGAGUAGCUACGUUUAUAAAAAAUAAUUACUGAAUGCAUAUAAGUAAGAAGUUUACCUCAAAAUAAUUUUUUAAGGUCGUAAUAGAAUAUUUACGUUGAUAGGCUUAUAAUGUAACAACUGUGAAGUUGAAGUUAAGAAGUACUAAUAAACCUUUUAAACAAAU